This 505-nucleotide ribosomal RNA is filed under the name uncultured bacterium. RNAcentral describes it as "partial 16S ribosomal RNA". It matches the Rfam family "Bacterial small subunit ribosomal RNA", at positions 28 to 507 of the family's 1533-position model. The record is from RNAcentral.
GACGAACGCUGGCGGCGUGCCUAAUACAUGCAAGUAGAACGCACAGUUUAUACCGUAGCUUGCUACACCAUAGACUGUGAGUUGCGAACGGGUGAGUAACGCGUAUGUAACCUGCCUGGUAGCGGGGGAUAACUAUUGGAAACGAUAGCUAAUACCGCAUAAUAUUAAUUAUUGCAUGAUAAUUAAUUGAAAGGUGCAAUUGCACCACUACCAGAUGGACCUGCGUUGUAUUAGCUAGUAGGGGAGGUAACGGCCCACCUAGGCGACGAUACAUAGCCGACCUGAGAAGGAGGUCGGCCAAACUGGGACUGAGACACGGCCCAGACUCCUACGGGAGGCAGCAGUAGGGAAACUUCGGCAAUGGACGAAAAGCUGACCGAGGAAAGCCGCGGGGGGGGAGAAGGGUUUCGGAUCGGAAAGCUCUGUUGUAAGGGAAGAAAGGGUGUGAGAGUGGAAAGUUCACACUGUGACGGUAUCUUACCAGAAAGGGACGGCUAACUACGUG